Molecule: non-coding RNA, 224 nt
Organism: Camellia sinensis
Lineage: Eukaryota; Viridiplantae; Streptophyta; Magnoliopsida; Ericales; Theaceae
Source: RefSeq, a predicted model, not a curated record
AUGUGGCAUGGCAAGAUGCAUCUCACCAGAAACGGUCAAAAGCUGGCAAGAGUAAUAGGAGUCAAUUGCCGUACAAUCAUACCAAUGGGUCUCGCUCAUUUCCUAUCGCAAUGGCUGCUAUGGUAGCAAAAGAUGGAGAGUUGGAUUUCCCAAAGUUCUAUGAGGACAGCCACACUUCAAAGAAAACGAAUGACUGGAUCCAUCCGAAAUGCCGUGAGCUGCAU